RNAcentral lists this long non-coding RNA (965 nucleotides) under Pan troglodytes (chimpanzee). Its description in RNAcentral is "long non-coding RNA NONPTRT017910". The record is from RNAcentral. Lineage: Eukaryota; Metazoa; Chordata; Mammalia; Primates; Hominidae.
UUUGGAGAGGUGGUAUGUGGCACCUGGUGUCACACGAAUUAAGGUUCGAGAAGGCCGCCUUCGAGGAGCUCUCUUUCUCCCUCCAGGAGAGGGUCUCUUCCCAGGGGUAAUUGAUUUGUUUGGUGGUUUGGGUGGGCUGCUUGAAUUUCGGGCCAGCCUCCUAGCCAGUCAUGGCUUCGCCUCCUUGGCCUUGGCUUACCAUAACUAUGAAGACCUGCCCCCCAAACCAGAAGUAACAGAUUUGGAAUAUUUUGAGGAGGCUGCCAACUUUCUCCUGAGACAUCCAAAGGGUCUUUGGCUCAGGCGUUGGGGUAGUCUCUGUAUGUCAAGGAGUACAGAUUGGACUAUCUAUGGCUAUUUACCUAAAGCAAGUCACAGCCACGGUACUUAUUAAUGGGACCAACUUUCCUUUUGGCAUUCCACAGGUAUAUCGUGGUCAGAUCCAUCAGCCCCUUCCCCAUUCUGCACAAUUAAUAUCCAUCAAUGCCUUGGGGUUACUAGAGCUCUAUCGCACUUUUGAGACAACUCAAGAUGGGGCCAGUCAAUAUUUGUUUCCUAUUGAAGAGGCCCAGGGGCAAUUCCUCUUCAUUGUAGGAGAAGGUGAUAAGACUAUCAACAGCAAAGCACAUGCUGAACAAGCCAUAGGACAGCUGAAGAGACAUGGGAAGAACAACUGGACCCUGCUAUCUUACCCUGGGGCAGGCCACCUGAUAGAACCUCCCUAUUCUCCUCUGUGCUGUGCCUCAACGACCCACGAUUUGAGGUUACACUGGGGAGGAGAGGUGAUCCCACACGCAGCUGCACAGGAACAUGCUUGGAAGGAGAUCCAGAGAUUUCUCAGGAAGCACCUCAUUCCAGAUGUGACCAGUCACCUCUAAGAAGACUAGAUAUUCCUAGAAAAUAAAGAAGCAAAUCUCUUUACCAGGACCUUCUCUCAAUUUUCAUGGUGGAAUGUCUCCCCCAAC